Molecule: ribosomal RNA, 695 nt
Filed under: uncultured Tricholomataceae
Lineage: Eukaryota; Fungi; Basidiomycota; Agaricomycetes; Agaricales; Tricholomataceae
Description: eukaryotic LSU rRNA
Rfam family: Eukaryotic large subunit ribosomal RNA
Source: RNAcentral
UGCAUAUCAAUAAGCGGAGGAAAAGAAACUAACAAGGAUUCCCCUAGUAACUGCGAGUGAAGCGGGAAAAGCUCAAAUUUAAAAUCUGAUGGUCUUUGGCCGUCCGAGUUGUAAUCUAGAGAAGCAUUAUCCGCGCUGGACCGUGUACAAGUCUCCUGGAACGGAGCGUCAUAGAGGGUGACAAUCCCGUCUUUGACACGGACUACCAGGGCUUUGUGAUGUGCUCUCAAAGAGUCGAGUUGUUUGGGAAUGCAGCUCUAAAUGGGUGGUAAAUUCCAUCUAAAGCUAAAUAUUGGCGAGAGACCGAUAGCGAACAAGUACCGUGAGGGAAAGAUGAAAAGAACUUUGGAAAGAGAGUUAAACAGUACGUGAAAUUGCUGAAAGGGAAACGCUUGAAGUCAGUCGCGUUGGCCGGGGAUCAACCUUGCUCUUUUGCUUGGUGUACUUCCCGGUUGAUGGGCCAGCAUCAGUUUUGACCGGUGGAUAAAGGCCAGGGGAAUGUGGCAUCUUCGGAUGUGUUAUAGCCCUUGGUCACAUACAUCGGUUGGGACUGAGGAACUCAGCAUGCCGCAAGGCCGGGUCUUUGACCACGUACGUGCUUAGGAUGCUGGCAUAAUGGCUUUAAUCGACCCGUCUUGAAACACGGACCAUGCUGGCUUAAUGGUCUUCAGCGACCCGUCUUGAAACACGGACCA